Long non-coding RNA from Octodon degus (degu), 1849 nucleotides. RefSeq lists it as uncharacterized. The record is from RefSeq and is a predicted model, not a curated record. Lineage: Eukaryota; Metazoa; Chordata; Mammalia; Rodentia; Octodontidae. The transcript is spliced from 3 exons.
GUGCUGCCAAAGCAAACACGUAGAGUCAAGAAAUAAAUCCCAUUUAAUUGUGCCUCCAAAGACCAGCAGGCCUGAAUAUUCACUCAUUCACUCAUUCAUUCAUUCACUUGUUCAAUUCUUAGUCACCCUACACAUCACCACAAGCUGAGGACAACCACAUUUGUGCCCUUCUGGAGCUUAAGCAUAACAGAGAAAACAGAAGAAAAAAGAAAAAAACUGCACGUAGCACUGCCCGGUAGCAAUAAGUGCUGUGAAGAAGAAAAAUCGGUGUAGGGCAUAGCGACGGUGGGGAGCUAGCCUCAGAGGCGUUCAAGGAGGAUGUCUUUAAAGGUGAUAUCUGCAAACAGAGGUCAAAAGGACAUGAUACACAUAUCUGAGAGAGUUAUGUCCUAGGAAGAGGAAAACAGCAAGGAAGAGGUCCAAGUCAGGCAAGAAGUCCCUGCAUCUGGGGAGCGUCCAGGCCGUACAGUGGGGGGAUGAGCGGGACACGGAGGAGGAUUCAGGACAGAGGGCCGGAAUAUGCAAAAGCAAGAAUUUGUUCUCAGUGUGAAAAAACGUUGCUGAGUGUUUUAAGCUAAGGAGGAUAUUAUUUUGCCUAUAUUUAACAGAAUGAUUAUGCUGGUUUCCAGAAUAGAAAAUAGAAGUAGCUAGAAAGUUACUGUGGGGGAAAAAAAUAGGAAAAUGAUCGUGGGACUCUGUUAAGAGACGGAGGAGGGCUUAGAGCAAGUGACAGCAGUUGUUGUGUUAGGAAACCCAUGAGGGCAGACCAGCGGGGUCACCGGCCUCGGCCACAGUGGCAGGCCGGGGAAAAUGCCAAAUCGGCUCCCGGUGGUGGUGGAGGAGCAAGACAGCGGAAGGAGACCAAGGACAGCAUUUUGACAAGUUCGUUUUGAGACGCCAGUCGCUCUUUCCCUUGUGGCAAGCAGGUGACAGUGUGGACGAGGGCAGGCCAAGGCAGGCCACAGUGCGUGGCCACUGUGUAGAGCCCCCUGAUUGGAUGAGUAAGUAUGGACAGCUAGCCCAAAGGGAAGGCAGGAAAAACACUCGAAAACUGAGAGAUUGGGAGAGGAGGAGCCCGCAGAAGAGGCUGAGCGGCAGCCUCCUGCGUGGGGAACUUCCUGUCGUACCCGGCUGCGGAGAAGUCGCGUGGAACGAACAAGGAGACCUGAAAAUGCCGGAACAUCAUAUUCUCUGCUCACGUUGACAAAAUUUCGUGUCAGUGAGCAAUGAAGACGAAGCCCCAUCAUAACUGGCCGCGGAGAGGACGCUGGAGAGGAAGUUGAGGCACGGAGCGCACCGUUUUAAGGAGCACAGAGUUUGUCAGCAAUCUGUAAGCUCUAGUCUCCGUGCCUCCACGCGUGAAGGUUGUUAUGCACGUUCACUGCCUUGGCCUCUUCCCGCCGCCUCAGCCCAGCGUGGAGAAGCAGGGACGGAUGUCUCACUCUGCCUCUAACCCCACAGCACGACACAGCUUUUGUCCUGAAGGGCAAUAAACAUAGCUGUGCACUUGCUAAGACAUGACAUCAGAAGUAAAAACCUGUGUGGCCAGCACUGUACCACGGACAACUUCAUCGCAGAAAGAACCUUUGCCUCACUCGCCACACCCGCGUGGCCUGCACCCGCGGCCUGCACUCGGCAGCUGCACACCCUGUGCCGCCUCACUCGCACUCACUGAGCCGGCGUUCACCUCUCCUUUCCUGUGCCACACCUUUCUUCUCACCUCACUUCUCUUCCUAUGUUGGCGGGAGCUUCCUACUAUGGUGCCCAAUGUAUACUUGGCAGGGAAAUAAAAAUCAAUAAAAUAAAAUAUCAAAUGAGUGCUUAGAAGAGACACAACCAAUUUCAUGUC